GUCUAUAUAAUUUAAACAAAAUAUUGGUCUUGUAAGCCAAAUUUAGGCUCCUCCCCUUUUAGACU
RNAcentral lists this transfer RNA (65 nucleotides) under Chthamalus antennatus. RNAcentral describes it as "tRNA-Thr". The record is from RNAcentral. Lineage: Eukaryota; Metazoa; Arthropoda; Thecostraca; Balanomorpha; Chthamalidae.